This 254-nucleotide ribosomal RNA is filed under the name uncultured bacterium. Its description in RNAcentral is "partial 16S ribosomal RNA". It matches the Rfam family "Bacterial small subunit ribosomal RNA", at positions 524 to 776 of the family's 1533-position model. The record is from RNAcentral.
UACAGAGGUCCCGAGCGUUGUUCGGAUUCACUGGGCGUAAAGGGUGCGUAGGUGGUGAGGUAAGUCGGAUGUGAAAUCUCCGAGCUCAACUCGGAAAUGGCAUUGGAAACUACCUUGCUCGAGGGUUGGAGGGGGGGACUGGAAUACUUGGUGUAGCAGUGAAAUGCGUAGAUAUCAAGUGGAACACCAGUGGCGAGGGCGAGUCCCUGGACAACUCCUGACACUGAGGCACGAAAGCGUGGGGAGCGAACCGG